This 311-nucleotide ribosomal RNA is filed under the name uncultured bacterium. RNAcentral's name for it is "bacterial SSU rRNA". It matches the Rfam family "Bacterial small subunit ribosomal RNA", at positions 335 to 662 of the family's 1533-position model. The record is from RNAcentral.
ACUCCUACGGGAGGCAGCAGUGGGGAAUCUUGCGCAAUGGGCGAAAGCCUGACGCAGCAACGCCGCGUGGGGGAUGAAUGCCUUCGGGUUGUAAACCCCUUUCAGCAGGGACGAAAAUGACGGUACCUGCAGAAGAAGCCCCGGCCAACUACGUGCCAGCAGCCGCGGUAAUACGUAGGGGGCGAGCGUUGUCCGGAUUUAUUGGGCGUAAAGAGCUCGUAGGCGGCUUGGCAAGUCGGGUGUGAAACCUCCAGGCUCAACCUGGAGACGCCACUCGAUACUGCUAUGGCUAGAGUCCGGUAGGGGACCAC